GACGAACCGUGCAAACGUUGUUCGGAAUCACUGGGCUUAAAGGGCGCGUAGGCGGGCUGUCAAGUCUGGGGUGAAAUCCCGCGGCUCAACCGUGGAACUGCCUUAGAUACUGACGGCCUCGAGGGAGGUAGGGGCGAGCGGAACUGUGAGUGGAGCGGUGAAAUGCGUUGAUAUUCACAGGAACUCCGGUGGCGAAGGCGGCUCGCUGGCCCUCUUCUGACGCUGAGGCGCGAAAGCUAGGGGAGCAAACGGG
RNAcentral lists this ribosomal RNA (253 nucleotides) under uncultured bacterium. RNAcentral describes it as "partial 16S ribosomal RNA". It matches the Rfam family "Bacterial small subunit ribosomal RNA", at positions 524 to 776 of the family's 1533-position model. The record is from RNAcentral.